Molecule: unclassified non-coding RNA, 154 nt
Filed under: uncultured Ascobolus
Lineage: Eukaryota; Fungi; Ascomycota; Pezizomycetes; Pezizales; Ascobolaceae
Description: sequence contains ITS2
Source: RNAcentral
AAUCAAUCAAACCUUGGUUUGGUAUUGGGAGAAGUGGCUCUGCCUCUCUCCUUUAAGCUAUUGGCGACACUAUUUCAGCUUGUAAGACGUAGUAAGUAAUAUUCUCGUUAAAGCAACUGUGUAGUCGUCUGCCAACUGAACGAUUUAUUUUAAA